Molecule: ribosomal RNA, 482 nt
Filed under: uncultured bacterium
Lineage: Bacteria
Description: partial 16S ribosomal RNA
Rfam family: Bacterial small subunit ribosomal RNA
Source: RNAcentral
AUUGAACGCUGGCGGCAUGCCUUACACAUGCAAGUCGAACGGUAACGGGCCUUCGGGUGCCGACGAGUGGCGAACGGGUGAGUAAUACAUCGGAACGUGCCCGAUCGUGGGGGAUAACGAGGCGAAAGCUUUGCUAAUACCGCAUACGAUCUACGGAUGAAAGCAGGGGACCGCAAGGCCUUGCGCGGACGGAGCGGCCGAUGGCAGAUUAGGUAGUUGGUGGGAUAAAAGCUUACCAAGCCGACGAUCUGUAGCUGGUCUGAGAGGAUGAUCAGCCACACUGGGACUGAGACACGGCCCAGACUCCUACGGGAGGCAGCAGUGGGGAAUUUUGGACAAUGGGCGCAAGCCUGAUCCAGCCAUGCCGCGUGCAGGAUGAAGGCCUUCGGGUUGUAAACUGCUUUUGUCCGGAACGAAAAGCCUUCUUUUAAUACAGGAGGGUCAUGACGGUACCGUAAGAAUAAGCACCGGCUAACUACGUG